This 271-nucleotide ribosomal RNA is filed under the name uncultured Nitrosomonas sewDGGE1. RNAcentral describes it as "partial 16S ribosomal RNA". It matches the Rfam family "Bacterial small subunit ribosomal RNA", at positions 195 to 468 of the family's 1533-position model. Lineage: Bacteria; Pseudomonadati; Pseudomonadota; Betaproteobacteria; Nitrosomonadales; Nitrosomonadaceae. The record is from RNAcentral.
GGGGAUCGAAAGACCUUAUGCUUUUGGAGCGGCCGAUGUCUGAUUAGCUAGUUGGUAAGGUAAUGGCUUACCAAGGCAACGAUCAGUAGUUGGUCUGAGAGGACGACCAGCCACACUGGGACUGAGACACGGCCCAGACUCCUACGGGAGGCAGCAGUGGGGAAUUUUGGACAAUGGGCGCAAGCCUGAUCCAGCAAUGCCGCGUGAGUGAAGAAGGCCUUCGGGUUGUAAAGCUCUUUCAGUNGAGAAGAAAAGAUUGUGACUAAUAAUU